UGAGGAAUAUUGGGCAAUGCCCGCAAGGGUGACCCAGCAACGCCGCGUGGAGGAUGAAUGUCGUAAGAUUGUAAACUCCUGUUAGAGGGGAAGAAUAGUACCGGUUGGACCGGUAUAUGACUGUACCCUCAGAGAAAGCCCCGGCUAACUACGUGCCAGCAGCCGCGGUAAUACGUAGGCAGCAAGCGUUGUUCGGAGUUACUGGGCGUAAAGAGUGCGUAGGCGGUUUUCUAAGGUCGGUGUGAAAUCUCCCGGCUUAACUGGGAGGGUGCGCCGAAGACUGGGAAGCUGGAGUGUGGGAAAGGCAGGCGGAAUUCCUGGUGUAGCGGUGAAAUGCGUAGAUAUCAGGAGGAACACCGGCGGUGUAGACGGCUUGCUAGACCAUAACUGACGCUGAGGCACGAAAGCGUGGGUAGCAAACA
This 422-nucleotide ribosomal RNA is filed under the name uncultured bacterium. RNAcentral describes it as "bacterial SSU rRNA". It matches the Rfam family "Bacterial small subunit ribosomal RNA", at positions 355 to 774 of the family's 1533-position model. The record is from RNAcentral.